RNAcentral lists this ribosomal RNA (330 nucleotides) under uncultured bacterium. Its description in RNAcentral is "bacterial SSU rRNA". It matches the Rfam family "Bacterial small subunit ribosomal RNA", at positions 917 to 1247 of the family's 1533-position model. The record is from RNAcentral.
GGGCCCGCACAAGCGGUGGAGUAUGUGGUUUAAUUCGAUGCAACGCGAAGAACCUUACCAGGGUUUGACAUCCUGCGAAUCUCUUGGAAACGAGAGAGUGCCUUCGGGAACGCAGUGACAGGUGGUGCAUGGCUGUCGUCAGCUCGUGUCGUGAGAUGUUCGGUUAAGUCCGGCAACGAGCGCAACCCACAUCCCUAGUUGCCAGCAGUUCGGCUGGGCACUCUAUGGAAACUGCCCGUGAUAAGCGGGAGGAAGGUGUGGAUGACGUCAAGUCCUCAUGGCCCUUACGGGUUGGGCUACACACGUGCUACAAUGGGGAAUACAGACGGA